This 216-nucleotide ribosomal RNA is filed under the name Glomeromycotina sp. RNAcentral describes it as "partial small subunit ribosomal RNA". The stretch from base 40 to 216 matches the Rfam family "Eukaryotic small subunit ribosomal RNA", at positions 686 to 864 of the family's 1831-position model. Lineage: Eukaryota; Fungi; Glomeromycota. The record is from RNAcentral.
GGGUCAGUAGGUUGGUCGUGCCACCGGUACGUACUGGUCUCACUGAUUCCUCCUUCCUGAAGAACCGUAAUGCCAUUAAUUUGGUGUUGCGGGGAAACAGGACUGUUACUUUGAAAAAAUUAGAGUGUUCAAAGCAAGCUAACGCUUGAAUACAUUAGCAUGGAAUAAUGAAAUAGGACGAUCGAUCCUGUUUUGUUGGUUUCUAGGAUUGACGUA